UACGUAGGGUCCGAGCGUUGUCCGGAAUUAUUGGGCGUAAAGAGCUCGUAGGCGGUUUGUCGCGUCUGCUGUGAAAACUCGGGGCUUAACCCCGGGCCUGCAGUGGGUACGGGCGGACUAGAGUGCGGUAGGGGAGACUGGAAUUCCUGGUGUAGCGGUGAAAUGCGCAGAUAUCAGGAGGAACACCGGUGGCGAAGGCGGGUCUCUGGGACGUAACUGACGCUGAGGAGCGAAAGCGUGGGGAGCGAACAGG
RNAcentral lists this ribosomal RNA (253 nucleotides) under uncultured bacterium. Its description in RNAcentral is "partial 16S ribosomal RNA". It matches the Rfam family "Bacterial small subunit ribosomal RNA", at positions 524 to 776 of the family's 1533-position model. The record is from RNAcentral.